AGUCGGUCUCCCUGGUGGCGAUAAAUUGUGAACCCGGUCAGGUCCGGAAGGAAGCAGCCGCAGCAUCAAAUCGGGUGCCGGGGUCGGGCGGGCUGG
RNAcentral lists this signal recognition particle RNA (96 nucleotides) under Rhodospirillales bacterium. RNAcentral's name for it is "signal recognition particle sRNA small type". It matches the Rfam family "Bacterial small signal recognition particle RNA". From Rfam's summary of the family: The signal recognition particle (SRP) is a universally conserved ribonucleoprotein involved in the co-translational targeting of proteins to membranes. Archaeal SRP consists of a 7S RNA and homologues of the eukaryotic SRP19 and SRP54 proteins. In most bacteria, the SRP consists of a 4.5S RNA and the Ffh protein (a homologue of the eukaryotic SRP54 protein). Lineage: Bacteria; Pseudomonadati; Pseudomonadota; Alphaproteobacteria; Rhodospirillales. The record is from RNAcentral.